Molecule: long non-coding RNA, 14239 nt
Filed under: Populus trichocarpa (black cottonwood)
Lineage: Eukaryota; Viridiplantae; Streptophyta; Magnoliopsida; Malpighiales; Salicaceae
Description: long non-coding RNA (PTRI_LNC003773)
Source: RNAcentral
GAAAAAUAUGUAUGAUUUUGUGCUGAUUUAGCCUGGCAUUGAUAGCUAAUUGCAGUGCCUUUUUAUCAUAAUUUUGUGCUGAUUUUCUUCUGGUUGCUCCUAAUCUUCUUCUUGAUGGUCUGCCCUUCUCUCUGUAAUAUAUAUAUAUAUAUAUGUAUAUAUAUAUAUAUAUAUAUAAUCAUCUUCUAAUAUCCACUUUAAAUGCCAGCUUGAAUACAGAGAAAGCCUUUAAUGCACGAAAGUUGAUCAAAUGAUGCCCUAGCUAAUAAAGCUACUGCAUUUAGGCACCGUGAUAUUGCCACCAAAUUAGGGCAAGCUAUUAGGUUUUCCAUGAUCCAUAUGAAUAUCGAGGUAAACAGCAAGAAGAAAGAAAAAUUGGAAAAAAGAAUUAUUUAUAUAAAUAAUAAAAUCCUUUUUAUCCUAAUCUCUCAGAAAUAAUAACAUCUUUUUUUUUAUCCAAAUAUCACAGAAAUAAUAGUUUACAAGCAUGCACUGCAUGUAGAAUAAAAAAACAUUGAUUGUAAUAAAAAAAUAUUUAAAUUUUAGAAAACUAUUUGGUAUUGUUAUUAAACUUAACUUAGCGGCUCAAUCUUAAAACCUCACCAUCUAACUCAUUACCUAGCCCGGGUUUAAGUUUAAACCAUGUGGAAGUUGGCUCGGAUUAAAAAAAAAAGAGCUCGAUCGUGUGGGCCUACCCUGGCAGACCCACGCAUGGGCCCUGGUUAAAUGGGUAAGGCUGACUGGCCUGACUUCUUAAGCCCAAUAAUGUCUGAUCUUUUUUUUCCCUAAUUUUUUUAUGUUUUAAAAAAAAACUUAAUUAUAUUUACAUUAAUACCCCUUUUAUCUUUUAUUUUGUUUAGAAGACCUCUUUUAAAUAAUAUUGAUUUUUUGGUUAUGCAUUUAAUUUUCAAAGAGGUUUUUAUAAUUCAUCUAUGGUUUUGUUUUUAUCUUUUGUAUAGAAUAAAAAGGUUUUUGAAAAUAAAAAAUAUUUAUUUUUAGAUUAUAUUUUUAACAUGUGUAGUCUUACAUGUUAUUCUUUUUUAUUAUUAUUUUAUUCAAUCAAUUUAAUGUUCUAUUUUUCGAGAUUAAAUAUCUUGAUUUACAUCUAUUUUUUGAUUUUUUAAGUUGUGCUUUUAGAUAUUAUUAAUGAUUAUUUAUUUAUUUAUUAGCGCAUAUAAUUUUUAAUUUAUUUGAUUAUAUAUGUGUGUAAACUUUUUGAUUUGUUAUAUUUUUUGAACUAUAAAAAUACAUUUAAAAAACCUACAUAUAUAUUUUUUUAUAAAAAUAAAAAUAUUUAACUCACCAUGAAUCACGGAUUGCGUAACUAGUUGAUUUACUAGAGUGUGUGAUUUUUAUUUAUCAUGUAGGAAGUCUUCAUAAUUUUUCCAUGUAAUUCAAUGUGACAGUUUGAUCGCUAAUUCUCUUGUCAUGACAGAAUUACGUGUUGCUGGUAAGUUUUAUCAAUAAUAGAAAGGGCUUCCGGCAGGGCGGAGCAAGAAAAAAAAAUUCAAAAGAGUUAAAUUAAAAAAAUUAUUUUUAAAAAAUUAAAAUUUUAGUUAUUUUAUAAAAAGAAAGGCUGGGAAAAAUUUCCUUACAGGGCCGGAGUCUCCACCCAGCCCCCCUGCCUCCGUCACUAGCUCCCGGUAGUUCUUUUUUAUACCAAAUUUAUUUGAAGUUAUUAAACCCGACUCGACUCGUAAUAUUGCCAUAAAUUACAGCAGAUUAGCUCGAACCAAUUUAGAAAGAUGUUUGAGUUUCGUGUGAUAAUUCUGAUCAAGUUUACAGCAGAGAGACUUGUAUAUUUUUCAUGGUGUGUUCAUCCAUUUGAGGGUGUCUGGGUCAGUUUAUGUGUACCUCGACUAAUCUCACAACACAACAAAAUUCAACAAUAUUUAUCAAACGUAAAUUUUUGGUGUCUCAUGGCCAGUUAACCUCCAAUGAAUCCCCAACGAAAAACACAAAUUUUGUAAUUUUUUUAAUUAACGUGGGUGUCUGGGUCAGCUUGCGUGUACCUCGACUAAUUUCACGGGCCCUGAAGUUAACGACCAUAUAAACCUCUAGUGACCCUGAAGUUUGUGAGACUCGAACCAAUAUUUUUAUUAAAAUAUUAGAUUAUUAGAUUAUUGAAUCAAUUUAUAGAUUAUUGGAUCAAUUCUAAGCAAUUAUUUUUAUUAAAAUGAUAUUGUUUUUCUUAAAAAAAAUUCUUGGAGUUGAUCUAACUGGGGUUUGGACCGAAUUUGGUUAGGUCAACUAAAUCACUAAGAACUUGGCUAGAUUAAUCAGGUUUCACCGGGUUAACGUUUUUUUCUAUUCAAUUUGAAACUCAAUCCAAAUCAGACUUUAGAGCUGGGUUUAACAACUAUUAUAUAUCAUUUUCCUAUCUUUAUUUUCAUAAAAUCAAAAAAUAAAAAAUAAAAUAGGCAUCUUCAUGGAUAAUAUUGAUUUCCUGUUCCUUGCUAAAUACAGAAGCGAACAAGAUUGAACCCGUGUUACGCCGCGAGCCUAUUCAAUUUUUUUAACAUAAAAAAGGAUGCUCAAGCGACAAUUGUGUUUUUAAAGAAGUAAGAAAAACCUUAUACUCAGGUUAUUAACUUAACUGUAUCAAAAUACGAUCAGUUAAUUUAAUAAUCUGAUUUAAACUGAAGGCGAUGAUAGACAACGAAUCAUAAAAAAACAUAUAGCAAUAAUUAACUAAAAAAAUAACCCAUCGAUAUUAUAUUUGUAAGGAGAGGAAGAAAAAAGAUCGUUGGAAACCCAUCGUCACUUCACCGUGAACAUCUCUUACAAUCAAAAGAGUUUGUUGAGACGGUUCAAAUCUCACUAUAAAAAUAUGCACGACGACAUCGAAAGAAGUCACAUGAGUCACUAGAACAACGCCCUAGGAAAGCAAACCGAACAAAACACAAUGAAGUAAAUAUCCAUCUAGCAUCUAUAUUCAAUCAAUCAAUUUCAUUUAAUUCGGAAAUAAAGUUUAUUUUGAACAAAUAAAUUUAACAAAGAACAACAAAUAAAAAGACCUGAGAUAAACCAAUCAAAUAAAAAAACAAAGGGCGUAGAAAGCAAAUAAAAAGACCUGAGAUAAACCAACCAAAUAAAAAAACAAAGGGCGUAGAAAGCAUAUAUAUAUAUAUAUAUAGACACACACACACACAAAACAAAUCCCACUCUCCAAUGGAAAAAAUAUCGAGAGCUAAAAUUGAAAAAAAUAUUAGCUUAAGAGAAUGAUAUAAAAAAAAAAAACAAUGCAACCCCUGACAAACCUCUUUAAACUGAGUUAAUUUCUCAAACUACAACUCGUGAAAAUCAAAAUAUAGACUUAACUAAGAAGUUUAAAUUCAAACCAACUCACUAUUGGAAUAUGAAAUUGAAUAAAAAAAAUAUAAACCUGAAAAGUUUGGCAAAGAAAGAAAAACAACAAUAAAAAAAUGAUGAUAAAAUCUGAUGGAAAAAAAUAACAAUGGAGGGUGACAUCACAAAAAUAUAAAAAUUAUCUCAAAUGAAAUAAAUAUAAAUUAAAAGAAUAGGGAUCAAAUCUAAAAAUAAAAAAUCAAAUGAGAAUGAAACUGAAACAAAUUUUUAUUUGCAUAAAUUAUUGCAAAUAAAACAAAUAUUAACAAAAAAAAAUCAAGGAUUAAAUUGAAAAUAAAGAGAAAUUGAGGGUUUGAUUUGGGAAAUUCUAGAGUAUGGCACAAAAAUCAAGAGAGAGAGAGAAAAAAGGUUAUUGGAGUCAAACUGAAGGUCUAUUACAUACACGUGCCACCAUUACAUGAUAGAGAUACCGAGAUGAAUAUAAAGACAUCAAAAAACGAUGUUUUUGGUUACUGAAAUCAGUUACAUGUGCUGUUUAAAGAUGAUAGAGCAGAUGUCGCGUGCCCAGCACGAGAGAGAGAGUAUUUUUUUUUCAAAUACUUUUAAUUUAUUAAAAAAAGAAACUAUCCCUAACUUUAUUCAAUAACAACGAAAAAACCAAGAGGGAAAUUAUAAAAAUUCCCCUAAGACCCAUGGCAUGGAAAUUUGAACCUCAAGAAAGGAUAUUUUUACUGCUCAAAUACAAAGGACACGACUAAAAUGCCCCUCUAGUCAAAGUUUUUUUUUUUUUUAAGGGAAAUAUGUUAUUUUAUUGCGCAUCUCUAAUUAAAAAUACAAAUAUUUCCCUUAAUGACAUCCAAUACAACUCUUAAGAAUAUUUAUGAUAUUUUAUAGUGCAAUUUAAAAGAAAAAUAUCUGUCAAUUUAAAAAUGACAAAAUACCUCAAUUACAAAUAUAACCCUACCCUCAAUUAUUAGCCUGGUGCUUUUUUUAACCACAAUUUUUAUUUUUUUUAUUUAAUUUAAUAUAGCUUGUCAUUGGAUUGUUCAUCUAUUUCUUUUUCUUUUUCUUUUUUUCCUUUUCUUUUGUUUUGUUUUAUGAUCAGCACUCCUAUUGUACCAAGUAUCCACGAAUAAAAAAAAUUAAAUUUAGCUAGAAAGAUUCGAAUUCAUCUAGCAAGGAAAAAUGUUUUCCUCGUUGAUUCACGUGUUAAUAUAUAUAUAUUAUCUUUAUUUUAUUCAUUUACAUUUCCAUUAUAUAUCUAUAAAAAUAUAUUUUUUAUUUAUCUCUUUGAUAAUGCUAAUUUUAUUUUAUUUUAAUGUGUUUUUGACAAUGUUAAUGUUAUUUUUUUUGCAAAAAUAGUUAAACUAACUAAUAAUAUUAUAUUUUAUAUUUUAUAUAUAAUUGUUAGAUUCAAUGGAAUUGGAUUUAACUAGAUUAAUUGACGCAUACAAAAUUUGUUUGGGUUAAUAGAUUUUAUCGGGUUAAUAUAUUUUUAAUUUAUUUAAAAAUCUAGCUUAGGUCAUGCUUUGGGUUAUAAACUUUCAUAAAUUAUUAUUAUUAUUAAUUUUAAACAUGAAUUCAUAGAAAAAUUACCACCAAUAUAUUUAAUACUGCAAUGUAUAAUAUAUUUUUUUUAAAUUAAUUGAAAAUAUAUCAAAUAUAUAUUUAUAUUUAUUUUUAUUUUUAACAUAAAGUAUAAAAAAACUCUAAAAAAUCAUUAAUUUAAUAUUUUAUUUUAGCAAAAGGUGUUUUUUUUAAAAAGCUGUUUUAACUAAAAAAACAGACGACAUAUAACUAUUCUCAUCAGAUCUAUGCAGUUGUUUCAACACAGGCAAUGAAAUCUUGCCACGUAAGCAUCCAGAAAAGGAACAAUUAGAUUUGGAACAUCCAAUAAAACCUCGUCUCUUACCUUACAAGCAGUAAAAUCUAAGGAGGGCUAACUACAAAUCAGUCCUCCAACUCCAGUGUUAUGAUUAAAUCAAUUCCAAAACUAGAAAUUCUCCUAAUUUCAUCAUACUUAAAAUCUAAAUGACGAAUAGUUUUUUAGUUAUACAUUUAUAUUUUGAAAAGAUUUUUUGGUUCAUCUAUAAUUAUUUUUUGCAUAGAUGAAUUUUAUUCUUGAAAAUAAAAAAAAUUAUUUUCAGAUAAUAUUUCUAAUAUGUGCAACAUUGAAUAAUGUUUUUCCCCUUUUAUUUUAUUAAAUCAAUUUAAUUUAUUUUUAUAUUUUUAUUAUUGUUUAAUUGAAUAAAAAUAUUAUUUUAAUAAAUAAAUUUAUCAAACACAACCAGAAAAAUAUCCCGUCUUACAAGAUUAAAUAUCAUGAUCUACACCCGUCUUUUAAUUUUUCCAGUUUUAUUUUUAUUUAUCAUUUAUGAUUUGUUUUCUAUUUAUUAACACACAUAAUUCUCGAUUUAUUUAAUUACAAGUAUGUAUAUUUUUUUUUAAUUUUCACUUAAUUUUUUUUACUACCAAAACAUGUUGAAAAAACUUGUGUAUAUAUAUUUUUUUUGUUAAAAAAUAUUAGCCCGCGGUGAAAUACAACUAAAAUAUCUAGUAUAAUUAUAUACUGAAUACUCAAAAUUCGAAUCAUUUACAUGAUUACAAAUGUAAUUUAGUUUUAUGUAAUAAUGUAAUGUCUACUAGAGUUAAUUUUUAUAUAUUGAGAUUGAUUUUUUUUUUUCCAGUAGAACUCAAUAUAGCUAGGAUGAAUUUGUAAACAUUUAUAGUCUCAGGGGACUAAUUUGUAGCUACCCCAUGUAACAAUGUCAGAAAAAAAACAUAAAACAAAAGCAAAAACAAAAGGCAUCGUCUCCCUGUGUCUCUCGUUGACGCAAAGCAGAAGCUUGAGCAUAGGUCGGCAAAAGACAGCCAAGCCCGAGGGAGAACGAAGAAUCUCAAAAAUCGAAUCCAAAAUAAAUCAAACCUCUUUCUGCUUUCUUUUUGUUUCCUCUGCUUUACCGAAAUCACACGUCGUUGUUAUUCCUCCCUCCCUCCCUCUCGCUUUUCCGCACAUAUUGUUAUUAGUAGAUUUUGAGAGGUUGAAUUUUGAUUGGGUAUGGCAACAGAGACAUCUAAAGAUGAAUUAUUGCAGCUAGUCAAGAGAUUUAGUGCUUAUUUGACAGUCAAGAUGUCAAAUCUCUUCUCCUUUAAUACCCCGGUUAGUCUUUCAAUUCCUUUAUUUUUGGUCUCGAUCUGAUUCUGAUUUCUUAGAUUAUGUGAUUAAUCUAUUUUUAGAGUUUAGUGUAUUUGUAAUUGGAAUUGUGGGGUGUGUUUUUCUUGUAGAAAAAAUUAAUGGCGUAUGGUUAUAGGUUUAUUUAAUUAAUUUAUGGUUUAAUUAGGGUAAAGAUUGAAGCUUUUAGCUGUUGAAAGGAGUGCAAUUUUGUUGGAUUUUAUUAUUUUUUCUUGCUUUAAAUUGGUUACUUUUCUUUUACUUCUUCAAUGGUUUUAAAUUAAUUCAUUGAUAUAAUUUUUUAUUUUUUUAUUUUUUCUCUUGUUGGGAAAUAAUUUUUUGGUUCUUGUUUUUUUUUUUUCCUUUUGAAUUUGAGACAACAAUGAAGAUUGAUGAUGUUAUCGUGAAAAGACUUAUUAAAAAAAAAUAGCAAAUGGGUGUGAAUAUAGUUUAAUUGUUUCUUAUAUUGAGAAAUUAGAAAAUUUAAAGAAUAGUUUGAUUUAUGGCAUUGAAGUACUCUCACUGGUUAAAUUUGGUAUCAGGAUUCACGAUCAGUUGGGGCCGUUGCGGGGCUUGCUGUUGCCAUAGUCUUUACAUGGAGGUGGUUGAGGUCAAAUAGUGGACCUCAAAGAAGGCAGCCGAAACGACAAGCUCCUACGACUAGUAGUUCUGUUGUGACUACUCAACCCAAUGCAGUGUCGAUACCUUCUGGGGGUGUUUGUUCAUCUUCGGAGGAUUUGAGAGUGCAGAAUGUUGUUGAUGAGUUCUUUCAAACAGUAAAAGUAAGAAAGCAAUAGUUAAGUUGUAUUUUUGUUUAUUUAGACUUUUUUUGUUCUUAUUAAUGUUUUGUCUUUUUUCAGCCAUCUUUGGGGCAAAUAGUUAGGCAAAAAUUGAGCGAAGGAAGAAAGGUAAAUACUAUCUUAGAUGCACUAAGCAUGAUUUACCUAUUUGCUUAAAUUUGAGUUGAUAUUUCUUAGAAGUGGUGUCUGCAGUCUGUUCUCCCUUUGGUAGCUUUACUGUGGUUUCAUUUCUCAUUUAACAUUUUUUGGGAAUGUUUUAUUUGUCCAAUCUAUGUGCAGUCUGUUUGUUUUGUGUUCAGUAUCCUCUCAUUUAGAUUACGAGUGAUUAUUUAAUUCAUUCCUAUAUAAAAAGGUGCCUUUUAACAAAACAUAAAUUGUGAGUUUGGUUCCUUGCAUCUAUAUGCCUUUUGCUUCAAGUUAUCUUAGCACUUGUUAUUUCUAAUUUUCAUGCUUCUUGAACUUUUUUGUUGCUACAAAUGUCAUGCAUGUAAGUUUGUUUGAAUGGCUUCUCUCAAGUAUGUUCUAGUUUUCAAUCAUUUACUUCUAAUAUAUAUAUAUUACUUUUAGGAUUAUUCUAGUUGUAAUGCAACAAGAAGACAGGCUGAGUUGUCCAAUAAAGAAAGCCAUUCCCCUUAAAGUUUCAUGCUUUGAUGACUUGUUUUGUGUAGGUCACAUGUCGUUUGCUUGGCGUAAUCCUUGAGGAAAGCAGUCCAGAGGAGCUUCAGGUAGUGAAAUAUUUUUCAAGUGAAAUAUGUGCUUGAAACUUUAAUGUGCAAAAAAUUAACUUGUUUCUUCUUAGGGGCAGAGUCAGGCAACUGUUAGGUCCUCUGUGCUAGAAGUGCUGUUAGAAAUCACGAAAUUUUGUGAUGUUUAUCUCAUGGAAAGAGUUCUUGAUGAUGAGAGCGAAGUAAGUGCAAACUUCAUGUAGAACAGUAUUUUAUCAUCACUUCUCCUUUGUUGAAAAAAUAUCGUCAUUUUUGUUCUGUGUUUUGAAAUAUGUGUGCUUCAUGGUGCUACCAAGCAAGUUUUUAUUUGCAUUGUUCCAUGUCCUUCUACACGUGAUUCAAGCAUUCACUUUGGAUGGUUUUCAACUUUUAUCUUUUUUUUAUGGUCUAUCAUUAAUCUAUAUUUAGAUGCACACUGGCUCUAUUGUCCUUGAGUUUAGUACUGUAUAUAAUUUUAGAUUUGGGAGAAAAUAUUUACAAAGACAAUUUUAUGGCACCUAUUAAUGAUGUAGAUGGCAUCCAGAAAUGUGAUGCCUCAGUCACCUCUAUGACUGUUAGUUGUACUUUAACCUGAUUGAAGUUCCUGAAUAAUCAUAUGUUAUUCUCAGUCUUUUUGAUGUCGAUGUUCAGUGAUUGACAGUUUUGAUGUGUUCUAAGAUGGAUGAUGUUUUCAUGAUUGUAGUUUAUCAACCAAGUGUGGAUUUCUAUUAAUGCUAAUUUGCUUUUGCACUUGUCAGUUCUUUUGUAAUAAAUUGUUUCCCUCAUGAAUUGCUUCAUGCACUAUUUUCUGCAGCAAAAGGUUCUCGCAGCUUUGGAAAAUGCAGGAGUUUUUACAUCUGGUGGUUUGGUUAAAGACAAGGUAACAGGAAAUGCUUUCAGAACACUAUGGUUUCUAUGGUAGCUAAUAAGCAAAUUUGUUACAUAUACAAUACACUGUGAGUUUCUUUAUACUGGCCAUUACUUCAUAAAAUUUGAUCCAGUAUAUAUUAGAUGUCAGCUUCUUCACAUUUCUUUGUAAGUUGAACUUUAAAGUGAUAUUUUGUAGCAUAAUUGUGAUGCAUGAUUAUGUGAGGUUCCAAGAAUCCUACUGAACUUUUCAUGCAGGGAAGAGGUUGAAUUCCAUGAAAUUAUACAGUUUUGACUCAAUAUAUUCUUGAUACAUUUUGAAGACAUGAUGUCAUUAAUUCCCCAAUAUUACAUAAGAAAGAGUGGCUAAUAAGCUUAAUAGUAUGGCAAAUACUUCUUCUAUAUCCAUAACAUUAUGUACUCACCAGUAUUUGACACAUGGCAUUAAGAGGCUGAAUGUGCUCAACCAAGCAACAAGGAUGGUUGUUUGUGGUAUAAAAAUAUUAGCUGAAUUGGCCAUUUCUGGAAGAUAUUCAUUUGUCUAUUUGUUUAAUGAUAUAAUCUGCACACUUGGGACACCUUUGGUACGCUGUAAUCAAAAUCAUAACAGAGUGUAUGAUUUAAAAGUUAUUUCUCCACUUAUGUGUUUGAAAUAUAAGAUCUGACUAUUCUGCGGAGUUUUAAUAUUUACCGCCUGAUGUUUUUUUGUCUUUUAACUUGGCAUUUGCUUUGUUUGUCUUAAUCUCUGUAAAAUGCAUCUGCAGGUUCUCUUUUGUAGCACAGAAACUGGACGGUCAUCUUUUGUACGACAACUAGAACCAGAUUGGCAUAUUGACACUAAUCCUGAAGUCAUUUUUCAGUUAGCUGUACGCUUCCUUCACGUGCCACUUAUUGUAUUUUGUCAUUCCACGAUCUUUAUGAUUCUUAGAUCAGAAUGUCAUCUCUUUGUAAUACUUAUCUUCUGAGUUUCACUUUUCUUUUGUGGCAGAGAUUUAUCAAAUAUCAGCUUCAAAUUUCUCCUAUUAGACCUGAACGGACCGCUGCAAAUGUGCUCAGUUCUCCAUCCUUGGAACAGUUCUUCGGAUCAACCUGAUGCAUCAACCCAUAAAAUGUGAAAAUAGAAUUUAGGAGUUAAAAUAGCUUGUUCUUUUUGUUCCAACUGAUCACAGCUUCACAUUUACGGGCAACUUCCACUAGUUGCUGGUCUUCUGAUGAAGGGUUGUUGUGCCAUGUAAUCCUCCACUAUCUCAAGCUCAAAGCUAUGUUUGUUUGAAAAUUUGUACAUUAGGGCGGUCAGAUUUGAAUUUGCCGCAACUGGAUAUUUGACAUGAUGGCUAUCGAUGUCAAUAAUUUAUCAGUUAAAAGAUAUUCAAUCAUUUGCAAUAAUUUUGGUGUUCACUUGUGAUUCUCCUGCCUUAUCAGCCUUUGUUCUACAGUGAGAUCAACAACCAUAACCCAUCUUUUUCGUAAUGUAACAUCUCCACUUGAGAGGUAUGCAUUAAAGAAAAUUACAUGUUGCUGGAACAGUUUUGUUUAUAUGUUUUGUGCCCCUUUUUAUGAAUCAUUCUUAUUUCCAGGAGUAUUUCUGCCAAAUUGGCUUCGUGACCUCUGAGUAUUAUUGCCCUUGUCACCUCAAGAAAACACUUUAUAUUUUAUGUUCCAGGUGAGGUGAACAUCCGCUGGGAUUCGGAGAGCUUCCUGACCAGCAAGCUAGGCAAAUGGAAAGAAUUCUCCAGCUGUUGCAAAUUCCCGUGACUGACUUCCCUCCAAUUAUUAGGCUUUUGCAUUUGCAUGGUGGAAUAUUUGACAAUUGCAGCUCUGAAAAUCGGAAAGGCAAUUUGCCCUUGAAUUAUUCCAUUCUUUUCCCACUUUUAGCUCUUGGUUAUGCCAUGUAAAGCAAAAUCUGAACAAUCGAGAGGUGGAAGAAAGAUCAAGCAAAGAAUCCUUGGCACCUUUUUGGAACGUGAAGCAAAAAGAGAAAAUUUGGAAUCGGAAAAAAUAAUAAAAGAGAAUAGUUGGCAUAGAAAAAAGAAAAAGAAAGGGGAAAAAAAUAAAAGAGAAAACUUGGAAUAGAAAAACUAGUACCCACCAAUAUAAAUAGGCUACUCCAUCAACCAAAAAGGGUGGGAGAGAGUAGAGGAGGAGGCACGUGAAAAAUACAGAAGAAAAGAAAAGAAAAGAAAAGAAAGCUCUCACAUGAAAACCCUAAAAACUGCAGUUCUCCCUCCUCCACCAAAGCAAACACACGUCUGACCACCAACAUCAUCCCUUUCUUCUCUUUUCAUCGCCACUUGCAUCGCCCAGAUCUGACCUUUGACAAGCUGCCAUGCGCGCGAGUAUGGUUCCGGUUGUUUAGUAUACUCUCAGGUUAUACCUUUGUAUUUUCCCUUAAUUAAUUUAUUCUGUAUUUAUAGAUUUGUCUCAAACUUGUUAAUUAUUACAAUUAGAUCCUUUUGUGAUUUAAUUCAAAUUUAAUUGGCAAUAAAUUGAAAUUUUUGUUCCUAUUUUUUUUAAUUUCAAAUUUGUGUGAUAUCUAAUCAUGAUCUACAAAAAGAAUUGGACAAUAAUUUAUCUAGGCAUGGACUAAAUUAAAAAGGGCAUAAACUAUCUUAUUUUAGGUUAAUAUAUUUUAGGUUUAAAUUAUCUUAUUUUUUUAAAAAAAUAGAUCUGAAUUGUAAAUAAUUAAUAUGGCAUAACAUUUUACAUGGAUUUUUUUUUAGUCAUAUUUUGUAAAUGACAUAAUUCACAAGAAUAAAUAUAGAUGAUUUUCCUAUAACUUUUUUUUUUAAGAACACGUUAAAAACUAAUUCAUGUCAAAUAUUAUGUCAUAUUAAUUAUUCACAAUUCAAAUUUAUUUAUUUUUAAAUAAAAAGCCUAAAUCUAAAUGUAUUAACAAGAUAAAAAAUUUUACACCUUUAAAUUUAAUCCAUUUCUAAAUAAAAUCUUGCUGUUAUUAAUUUUUCAAAUUAUAAUUAGAUAUCAUACAAACUUGAAAUUAGAUAUCAUAUAUAAUUAUGAAAUUAGAUAUCAUAAUUAUAUUCUGAACUUUUCCCUUUUAUUUUUUUUUUCUUUAGAUUUUUCUACUACAAAAACCGUGUAAUUUUUUAAUCCUUAAAAACUAUAUUUUUCAAGCCCUAUUUUUCAAUAUGGGUAAAAAUAGGCAAUGGCAACCACCCUCCUACAAUUGCAAUUUCAAGGCACCAUGUUAGUUUCUCAUGCUGUAUGUUUUGAGUACAGAGAUUGGAACUUAGAACCAGAGGCCAGCUGCUUGAGCUUUAAUCAUGUCAAGAACAAGAUUUUCUAUUCAGAUUAUAUAAAGCAAACAAAUGCAGUUUAUGAUCAAGGAGGAUUUAAGAGUGUGAUAGCGGUUGUUUAUCAAAGUGUUUUUUGUUUGAAAAUGUAUCAAAAUAAUAUUUUUUAAAAUUAUUUUUUAUAUCAGUACAUUAAGAUAAUUUAAAAACACCAAACAAAUAUCAAUUUAAAACAAAAUAAUACUUUUUUCAAAAACAUUUUUAAAACAUAAAAACAAACAAAUACACGACAUCAUAAUUACAAAGGCAUGUAUAGCAACUCCGAUCAGUCCAUUCCUAGAGGUGGUGAAGAACUUCAAAGCCUGGUUGACCCUCCCGACAUGUAACUUGAACAUUGUCUCGAGUCGACUUUCAAAUCGGGUUUUAAAAGUAUGAUAAUAAUUAUUUUUAUACAUACAUUGACUUGGUUCAACCCGUGUUGACCCUCCCGACUUGUGACCCGAGCCUUACCCUAAUUAACCCUGUGUCGGGUUUUAAAACUAUGAUAAUAAAAAAAUUUAUCCUUACAUUGACUCGGGUUGAUCCUUAUAAUUCGUGACCUAGGUCUUGCCCCGAAUUGACAAUCAAAUCAAGUUUUAAAACUAUGAUAAUAACCACUUUUAUUUUAUAUUAACUCGAGUCAAUCUAGGUGAACCCUUUUGACAUUUGACUCGGACUUUGCCCCCAGUUGAUGUUCCAAUCGAGUUUUAAAAUUAUUAAUAACUAUUUUUAUUUUUAUACCGAGCUAAUCAUUUCUAGCCGCAUUCAAGUGGGUUGUUGACACGUGUACAUUGUUGAUCAACCUUGUUCUACAAGGUGAUGGGAUUUGAUGUUGUAGAAAAAUGGAGGUAUUUGCGAUUCGAACUGCAGGAGGUGGUGGUUGUGGAUUAGGGUAAGGGGUCCCAGGGUGUAUGACAGAAAGCGAAGAUGGACCUUACUUGGACAGUAACGAUUCAUGAAACGAGUGCCGCUGCUUGCCUUUGGUAUCCGCGACGACGACCAAUUAUAUUAUUAUUAUUAUUAUAAAAAAAACUAAUAGGCAAAGGUAAAACCAUGUAUGAAGACUUGUUGUAUAUGAUUGCUGUUUUUGCCCUUGACAAUGCAAGUUUAGGAAGUGCGAAUUAUAAGGCAAAAUAAUCUUUUAUGGGUUCACUUUUCGUUAUCAAAUUGAUUAUAGUUAAAUUAGUUUUUUCACUUUUUUAGCGUAGUAAUAAAACUUAAUUAUCCUUAGAAGAAAAAAAGAAAUUAGCUUGGUGUUCUUAAAUGACUAAAUUAUUCUUAAAAACAAAAUAAUACAAAACUUCCUGUCAGGGAUUUUUCAUCUUCAGUUUCACCUAGUUUAGUCUCAUUUACUCGUCCUGUCAUAAUUUAGUUUCAUCUACUCACUAAACACGUCUUAGAACAUUUUGAACCAUAGCUUGAGGAAAGAGCUAAAAAAGAGUCUCCAUUAUCGGAUCUAUCGAGUCAACCCAACCGAGUCAACUAGGUUUCACUAAAUUAAUAUAUUUAAAACCCAACCCGGGUAAGACUCCAGUUUUCCUAAUCAACCCGUCAAGCCACAACAAAUUUAACAACUAUGACUAUGUUUAUGAAAUCCAAUUCGUUCCGCAUUUCCAACAUUUCCAACGAGCAAAUAUUCAUUUGACAAUUGGUGAAUACGAUCCUUCAAAUGCCAAAGAGCAAUGCAAAGUCACCCAAUGAUUGUUUCCCACGGGAACUAAAAGAGAUGCAGAAAUUCCUAGCGUUAGUAGCAAUGUUGGUUAUAUGAGGAAAUGCAGCUGAAUGCAAGUUUGAUGCGUGGACAGAAAACAGUGGAUUCAAUUUUCUAUCAACAUCCAUCAAAUAAAAGAGGUAAGCAUGAUUGUGCAACUAACGAAUGAUAUAUAUCUUCUAAAUUGUGUAUCCUUGAACCUGUUUCCUUUUUUGAACAAAUAUUUUGAAGGAUCGUACAGACAGACUAAAGGUGGAACGGAUAUAAGCCGUUACAGCAAAAAAAUGGAAGUUACCGUUUAAAACCGCAGAUCAUGCAGCUAGCAAGAAAUGAGCAUUUGCCAUCUAUACAUUGUGGUCAUUGGGAGCGAGUAAUUUGUCUUCUUC